RNAcentral lists this ribosomal RNA (343 nucleotides) under uncultured Sphaerospermopsis sp. Its description in RNAcentral is "partial 23S ribosomal RNA". The stretch from base 59 to 343 matches the Rfam family "Bacterial large subunit ribosomal RNA", at positions 2096 to 2439 of the family's 2925-position model. Lineage: Bacteria; Bacillati; Cyanobacteriota; Cyanophyceae; Nostocales; Aphanizomenonaceae. The record is from RNAcentral.
GCUUUACUGUAGCCUGGAAUUGUGUUCGGGCUUCGCUUGCGCAGGAUAGGUGGGAAGCGAGCUUUACUGUAGCCUGGAAUUGUGUUCGGGCUUGGCUUGCGCAGGAUAGGUGGGAAGCGAUGAACUUCUCCUUGUGGGGGGAAGGGAGCUAAUGGUGAGAUACCACUCUGGCGAAGCUAGGGCGGUCGCCUCCUAAAAGGUAACGGAGGCGCGCAAAGGUUCUCUCAGCACGCUUGGAAACCGUGCGGCGAGUGUAAAGGCAAUAAGAGAGCUUGACUGCAAGACCGACAAGUCGAGCAGGUACGAAAGUAGGCCUUAGUGAUCCGACGGCGCAGCAUGGAAU